AUGGCGGAAGGGCAGGUUCUAGUCCUGGAUGGCCGAGGCCUCUUCUGGGCGGAGAAGCCCCUAUGAUUUCCUAGCCCGAAGCCACAUUUUUUUGGCCCACUGUGUGAGGCAUGCUGCCCCCCACGAGACCGAGAGAGGCCAGGCUGCCCUGGAGCACCUCAAGGUGUUGGGUGGGAUCCCUCCACCCUAUGGCAAGAAAAAGCGGAUGGUGGUCCCGGUCACCCGCAAGGUUGUGUGGCUGAAGCCUACCAGAAAGUUUGCUUACCUGGGGCGUCUGGCUCAUGAGGUCAGGUGGAAGUACUAGGCAGUGGCAGCCACUCUGGAGGGGAAACGGAAGGAAAAAAAGGCUAAGAUCCACGAUCAGAAGAAGUAGCUCCUGAGGCUACUGAAACAGGCAGAAAAGAAUGUGGAGAAGAAAAUCUGCAAGUUCACAGAGGUCCUCACGACCAGUGGACGCCUGGUG
RNAcentral lists this long non-coding RNA (463 nucleotides) under Mus musculus (house mouse). RNAcentral's name for it is "long non-coding RNA chr4:83597302-83597765". Lineage: Eukaryota; Metazoa; Chordata; Mammalia; Rodentia; Muridae. The record is from RNAcentral.